Molecule: long non-coding RNA, 3439 nt
Organism: Bicyclus anynana (squinting bush brown)
Lineage: Eukaryota; Metazoa; Arthropoda; Insecta; Lepidoptera; Nymphalidae
Exons: 6
Source: RefSeq, a predicted model, not a curated record
UAAAUAAAAGUAUUUGUACUAAGCACAUUUUUUAUUACUUUUAUUAGUACAAUAAAAUAUUUGCGGAUUCAUAAAACUACAAAAAAUAACUUAUAAACUUAUAAAAUUAACAGUUAUUUAAAUUUAAGUGCAAAUUUAAAUUUACAUCAACUGAUUUAUUGCUCAGAGUCACACAGCGAGCGUUGGAGCUAUGUUAGGAGUAUCUCUGCGUGAUCGAAUCAGAAAUGAGGAGAUCCGCAGAAGAACUAAAGUCACCGACAUAGCUCAACGGGUUGCGAAGCUGAAGUAGCAAUAGGCGAGGCACAUAGUUCACGACCCCGCACUAGUAAGCGCAGCGAUGGCCGACCCCCCACCAGGUGGACUGACGACAUCAAGCGAGUCUCAGGGAUUCGCUGGAUGAUUUAUUGUGGAUUUCUUUUUCUUUUUUUAAUCCUCAUUUAUAGCUAAAUGAAUGACUCUCUGUAUUGAUGCCAACAAUAUCUACUUCUAUAACAACUUCAACAACUAUAAUUACUUAUUGUUUAUUAAAAUUUGUGAAAAGCAAUAUUAUGAAAAGAACAACACAUUUUGUUUCUAAUGUACUCAUAUAUGUUUAUCUUUAUCGCAGUAAAUCCAGUGAACAACGCCAAAUCGUCAAGUAGAUCAAAUCCAACAACGAAUCAGUACGUGCGAGGAGAGUUCACUGAUUAUGGCUUUGAUUCGUACCCAUAUUAUUGGUAAUGCAAUAAAUAUUUACUUCAUUAAUUUCAUUUAUAAAAAAAAUAAAAAGAAAAAAAAAAUUAAGAGUACAUGGUUUGCUGUAAUCACGCUCCAACUGCCAACAGCCUUACAUCACAUCUGAUUAAAGUUGUAAAACUGAUUGCAGAUAAAAUUGGAACAAAAAAAACCAUGUCAUUUAUAUCAUAGUGGCGGACGUCCGCGACUUCGUCCUCCUUGAACUCAGUUUUUCACAAAUCCCGCGGGAACCAUGGAUUUUCCGGGUUAUAUAAAUAGGAAAAAACUGAAUUUCACGUGGAAGAUUUGCGGACGUCCGUUAGUUUAAAAUUUGAAGGUUAAUCAAAUUUUGUUUAAUUCACAGGUAACCAACCCUUCAAGUUAAAUUGACUCAACGAACAUGAAAUAAACUAUGUUUAGUUGUAUAAUAUCUUUGUUUUUUCUUACAACACCCUAAAACCAAAGCUAUGACUUUAGUUAGCCCUAAAGUGGGCACGCGAUAAUCAUUUUCACUCAAUAAAAAGUUAUGCUUGGUUUUACAUUAAAAUGAACGAGAAAACAAUCAAUCUUACCCUGUUUUUCUACCUUUAGGAUUGGAAUUGUUUUUUCAAAGUUAUAUGGAACCUACGUCAAAAUAUACCCUUUACAAUCAAUAAAGAAUUAUCUAAAUCGGACUACUUCGUAACAAGUUAUGCAUAGUUUUAAAAUACAAUUAAUGGGAAAACAAUCAGUCAUCUUCUAUUUUCCUUCCCUUAGGGUUAAAAUUGUUUUUUAAAAUUUAUAUGGGACUAUUGCCGAAAUAUACCCUUUUUAGUUAAAACAGAGUUAUUAAAAUCGGACUACUUGAUAAAAAGUUAUGCUCGGUUUAACAUUAAAAUUAAUGGGUAAGCAAUCAAUACCUUGUUUUCGUACUCCUAGAGUUGAAAUUGUUUUUUUAAAUUUAUACGGAAUAUACCUUUUUCAUUAAAAAAAAAAUUAUUAAAAUCGGACAGCUCAAUAAAAAGUUAUAUUUGGUUUCAUAUUACGAAAUCAGGGGAUGAUUAAUUGUUUACUUAUUAAUUUUAGUGUAAAACCAAGUAAAACUUUUUAUCGAGUGGCCCGAUUUUGAUAAUUCUUUUUUAAUUAUAAAGGGUAUAUUCCGAAGAUAGUCUUAUAUAAAUAUGAAAAAACAAUUCGAACCCUAAAGCUAGGAAAACAGCAGAUGACUGAUUGAUUGGACCAUUGUAACCACCUUCAAAGUGAUCAAUAGAUAGAAAAUAUUAUAAUAUUUUCUUUCGCUUAUUAGUGUUCUGCAUACGUUUGUAUUUUUAAAGUCGGUAGUAUUUUUAAAUUAUUUAUUAUAUAAAUAGCAUAGAUAUUUUUUAAAUAAUAAAUCAUUUCGUCCCCGCACCAAAACAUUUCUGAUUUUAAAUAAUAUAAAAAAACAAGACUUUUGAAAAAAAAUAUCAUCGAAAUCGGAGCUGUUUCUGAGGACUUCCUGCAUAUGUUUGUUUUAUGUAUUCUUUGACUCCCCUACAUUGAUAUCCCUAGAAGUCGUAGAAAGGUAUUUGCUUCUACGUUUCAUAUACCUACGCAUGGCUAGGGUAUGGCUCUCCCGAAGUCAGUGUUUCCUAAUUCUUCCAACCAAGGCAUCUUAAGGAAGAGAGUGAAUAGGCAAGCGCAUUCCACCUUAGGCCACAUCUACACUUACGAUCAGGUGAAAUCGUGGUCAAGUGCGAGCUUAUACCAUAUAUAAAUGUUAAAUAUUUUAUACUUAUAUAUAGUUAAAAAUAUUAAUAAAUAAAUAAUGUAAUGAUAAAUUUAUUAAAUCUGCCUAAAAGAACUAUGGUUUGUUACAAAUCUUUAAGGCAAAGUUAGCGGACGAAUGUUUUUUAGAAUAUUGCGAUAUGGGUAUCAAAUUCAAGGACUCAUCAAGUGGAUUUCAAAAUGGUAUAUUAUGGUCAUAUUAAAAAAUCCUACAAUUAGUAAAACGUUAUUUAUUACUCGCUGUACGAAAUACGCGAGGCGGAUAACUAGGUAGGUUAAGCAGUUGGGUUAUUUACUUUUUUAAUUUUUUUUAGCUUUCUUAUUAGCUGUAACACCUGACGUUUCAAAAGUGCUGGUAAACUAAGUCUAAUUGAAAUAAAUGAACAGUGCUGAUUCGGUCGGGAGCAUAUUAUAGACAAAAUUAAAAAAGUUUUUAGGGUUUUUCGCCAAAAAUUAUUCAUUUUCAUUUCAGUAGGUAGGUACUUACAUUUUAUUUUGUUAUGUGCAAUAUUUAAAACAAAAACCCGAAUGUUUUUAAAUUAAAAAUAUUAUUACAAUUUACCAAUAAAAAUUUACUGCUACACGACUUAGAAAUUAAUAAUUUUUUACGAGUUUUAGAAAUAAUUUCGUUUUAAAUAUAUAUUUUCAAAGCAACCAACGUUAUUUUGUUCGAUGGUGGCAUACAAAAUGAGCAAAACAAUUGUAUCAAAAUAUUUUUUUGUUGCGUUGUAUGUAAUAUCCGUUAUUAUGGGAACAGUGACGCCUAAUGUAAUAUUAAAUCCGCCAUGUAAUACAGGUUGUCAGCAGCCUCAACUAGUUAGCUCGAUCGGACUGACUCCUGAGGCCAUUCCUCUAGGUACCGUCGAAGGUCCCAUUGGAACCGCGUUCGAUACCGUCGUGACAACUCUUUGUGAUUUCGUCGGUUGUUGAAUCAAUGCAUGAGGGCCGAGCUUGCAGGAAUAAUUUUCAUUGUAUUUAA